RNAcentral lists this long non-coding RNA (19204 nucleotides) under Oryza sativa (Asian cultivated rice). RNAcentral's name for it is "long non-coding RNA (OSAT_LNC001172)". Lineage: Eukaryota; Viridiplantae; Streptophyta; Magnoliopsida; Poales; Poaceae. The record is from RNAcentral.
AGCUCCUGACCUGGGCUCUUGACCCCACGUCAGUUUCCAGCCUCCCUAGCUCAACCAGGACAGUGAAGACGAUGUCCGAAGUCGAAGCUUUUGCCCUGAGGGCUGAAGACUUGAAGUUUGUGGCCACCCAGUUCCGACGGCUACACAGCAAACAGCUCCAGCACACGUUUAAGUUCUACUCGCAGCAUUGGAGAACCUGGGCAGCCUGUUUCAUACAAGCAGCCUGGCAUAGGUACUGCAGAAAGAAGAUCGAAGACUCUCUACGCGAGAAGGAGAAGAGGUUGCAGUUCGCAAUCGUUAAUGACGGUGCUACAACUCUCAGCUUCAGGGCAGCGAUAUAUGCUUCGCGUUUCGCUGGCAACAUGAUGCGGAUCUUGAGGAGAAAUGCCACCCGCAAGGCUCGGUUGAAGGAAAGUGUGCCUGCAAGGUUGUUACAAAAACCAGCAGAACCCAACUUUGCUGCAGAAGAGCAGUAGUUCUGUUUACCACGAAUGCGUAAGGAAUUUUUUGUGCAUGGCUUGUGCAUUUUUUACUUGCUGAUGUUUUUGCUUUCAGUUGACACUAGACCUACAAAUUAAGGAGAGGAAAAAAUCGCAAUAGGUGUCUGUAUCUUUCUGUAAGAUCUGUAUAUGUGUUCGUGUAUGAUAAUAGGUGAUACGUGUAAUUAUUAUUCAUCAGGUGUUUAUAUACAAAUUGUGUUUAUAGUAGUGUAGUGAGCAUUCCAUCCCGUGUUCCCAUCAGGCUCUUGAAGUCCAGGCACGGAGCAAGAUCACAUUGUAACGGAGACACUUGUUUUAACUCACAUAUAUUGACAUGAUAUAGAAUUAAUGGAUUGUUAAAGAUUUGUCAACCACUCAUUUUAGACAAAAGAAAAAAAAAAGAAAGUGUCCCUGUUUUAUUCCGGCACAGUCUAGCGUGCACUGCUGGUUUCCUUGUGUGAAGUCAUAAAGCAAUGCAUGUUCUAGCCGCUGGAAGCCUGGUAUCCUUGUCUUGAUACCCCUUUGUACUUUAUUAAUCAGUUAUCAACGUGUACCAUGCGUUUUCCAUACGGUGGGUUUUAUCCAUAGUAGGUAGCUACUGUAGAACUUGUCACGCCUGUGUGACGGGUUACAGUGAGCGCAAGAGGUUGUCGAUGUGCUGGGCCUGCGAGCCCAUGAAAGUCUGGCCUGUGAGCCCAUCUAAGAGAGACUAUAAUGUGGGAAGGAGUAUUGUAAACGUUAUCGAAUAGCUGAAAUCAAGAAUACGUCUCUUCCUCAACUACUCUAUUUCUGUCUUCUUCUUCUACCUCUGUCUCGUGCUGUCUUCUUCCCCAAACUCUCUUCCUCAUUUCUCAAUCUGGAUCGAAUCUGGUAAAUCAGAGGCGAAGGCGGCGGCGACUUGUUACAGUGGUAUCAGAUUCAGGCUGUUCGUGGUUGCAUUGUUCUCAUAUUCUCUCGAUCCGGCUGGUAAAAUCCCUGUGUUCCGGUUGACGGCUACCCUUGGGUGAGGCCGUGUCGGAGGGUGAACUCCGCAAGUGGAGGGCAGUGAGGUCCCCCUUAUUGGUUUGGCCGGGAAAAGUGGGUGAGAUUCGAGGACUCGGUGAGAAAGGCGGUGUAGAGGGGGUCGGGCCCCUCAAGAAUGAUGAGACAAAAGGGGUUUAUACAGGUUUGGGCUGUUGAAAAGCGUAAUACCUUACUCCCGUGCUUAGCUGAUUGAGUGAGGAAUUACAAAAUCUCCUAGUUGGAGUAGAAGGUGUUGAUGGUGAGGGGCAGGAGACUCCUCUAGUGAAAAGGGCCCAUCUCCUUCCUAAGUAGGCCUGGAACUCCUUUUAUAUCUCAAGGGAUACCACAUGGGCCCACCUAGCCUAUUCAGGGAGGAUAACCACAUUAAAUGCAUGUCUUGUUACUUGCCUUGGAAGUCUCUUGCACGCCUUGCUGCAGCGUGGGGCUUGCCAAAUCUGUCCGGCUGACACGGGGGACACGCACGUCAUAAUGAGUGAAGACUUUCGGGUCCUCACCUGCGCCGGGAAACGGGAACCCUACCCUGACCGGGUUAGGCAAGUCGUCUCCGGUUGUGAUAAGAGGCUAAGCAGCCUCUCAUCAUCACGACGUGACAGGGGGUGUCAGGCGACACGCCGCCUGAUAUGCAACCAGUGCACAGGCGCACUACCCUAACCACAUCGGUCAUAGAUCGGUCACAGACCGGUCAUAGUCCGGUAGGCCCACCGCGCCACAUUUAAUGCGGCGUGGUGCGCUUGCUCAGACUGCCUUAAAUGCGGUUAGGUGGGUGCUGGGGACGCCCACCUAACCCAGCACACGUGGCACCGCGCGGAAGGGGUUAGGAUAGCCCGACCCCCAGGCAUGGAGGGGGUGGCCGCCGCCCUGCCUUAGGCCCGACCGCCCCUGGGGGGAGGGCCACGUGGCUACCGGGGGCAGCCUCCUCCCUAUGGUGCUAAUAUCCCCGGGCCCAUAUCACCGACAGGCUGAUGUAAGUCCAGUUCUGGUUCGGCUGGAUUUGGAGGAGACAAGCAUCACGGCGCCGAUCAAACUCAGUGCUCCGUUGCGCCAGUCCUUGGAGACCAGGGAGACGAAGAUUCUGGAGUGGCUGGAUGCGCUUACGUCGCAGCUGGAGACACUUGAUUCGCCUCUGUAGAAGCAGGGUGGUCGCCUGGAUCAGGUGGUCACUAAGGUUGAUCUCGCGAUGGAUUUGGUCGGGAAGUUGCGGCAGGAGCAGCUGCAAGCGGUGUGCCUUCAGAAACACCUGUCUUCGCUGUCAUCAUCCUUGGGCUCAGGCGAUCUUGUGAGUAUUCUUGGUUCUUCUUCUGGGGUCUCGCGUUCGGGCGCUGGUGCACCACCAACACCACCACUACCGCCACCACCACCACCUCCUCGAUUUGGUUCCCACGCACACUAUUGGGUUGACGGCGAGGGCCAUCGAGCUCAGGAUGGGGGGCGGGCUAAGUCGUAUUUGCCGAAAAUGGAUUUUCUGCGUUUUGAGGGGCCGGAUGUGCAUAUUUGGAUUGAUAUGUGUGAGACUUAUUUUAAGAUGUACCAAAUUUCUGCUACUUUUUGGGUGUCUGCUACUAUUUUGCAUAUGUAUGGCAAUGCAGCGCAGUGGUAUCAGUCUGUUAAACUGGUGGAGGAUGUCAGUGAUUGGGCUCAUUUCCGUUAUGUAGUCAUUCAUGAGUUUGAGGGCAACACGCACCGAGAGAAAACUUUAGCUCUGCGGUUGUUGACUCAAACUGGUACAGUGGCUGAAUAUAAGCAACAAAUUGAUUCACUUGUUUAUCAGGUCAGACUGUUUGAUCCUUCAGUGGGAGGCAUGAUGUUAGUAUCUCGUUUCGUUUUGGGGCUUAAGCAGGAAGUUCGCAAUGCGGUUUUGCUUCAGCUGUCACAAACUAUUCAACAAGCUACUGCGGUGGCUUUGACUCAGGAAGGGCUGCUACUGGAUUCUUCCCCUUCUAUGAAGCGCUUGCCUGCUAAGAAAUUUGUGCCAAAAGUGGAACGGCUAGUUGGGACUGAGACUUUGGGGCUGAAGCCUGAACAAGCUGAACCGUGGAAGGCUUGGCAAUUGAGUGAUUUUCGCAAGGAUAAUGGGUUAUGUUUUUUUUAAGUGUGGUGAAAAGUACUCAUCUGAGCACAAGUGUGCUGUGCUGGGCCAAAUCAAAGCAAUGCAGAUUACUGAAAUCAUUCAAGAUGCUUUGCUGAAUGCAGUGAUUGCUGAGGAAGAAUCUGAUCAAGUGGAUGAAUGUCAUGUUUUGCUGAAUGCACUGUCAGGUGCUCAUCAUCCUCGAGCCAUUUCGAUUGAGAGCUUUGGCGCAUAGCAAAGUGUUGUUAAUGUUGGUUGAUUCUGGUAGUUAUCAUAGCUUUUUGGAUCUGCACUUUGCUCAGCAGUUGGGAUUACCUUUGUAAUCUGUAUCUCCUUCUAUGGUCAGAGUAGCUAAUGGGGAUUUUCUCACUUGUCAAUAUAUUGUACCUAACUUUACUUGGUGGAUUCAAGGACACACUUUUGUUUUUGAUAUGAGAGUGGUUGAAUUGGGUGGUCAUGAUGCUAUUUUGGGCAUGACUUGGUGAUAUGACUUGUAAUUGGGCUUGGAAGACUUUGAAAUUUCAUUAUCAAGGUAGCUAGAUUUCAUUGCAGGGUGUGGUAGAUUCUGCAAUCACAACUGAACUCCAGUCAGUUUCUCUCCUUCAGAUUCUGAAGUGGCAGAAAGGUUGUGAUAUAUGGGCUGCUGCAAUGUUGCAGCACUCUUCUCCUAGUCUUGCACAUCCACUUCCCUCUUCUGUUAAUCAGUUACUCUUGGAAUUUCAUGACAUUUUUUAGGAACCAACUGUAUUGCCUCCACACAAAGUGUAUUACCAUUCCAUCUCCUUGUUGCCUGAUGCUGCACCGGUUAACAGCAAGCCUUACAGGUAUUCUCCUCUCUAGAAAGAUGAGAUUGAAAGACAAGUGAAAGAAAUGAUUGAUUCUGGCUUGGUGACACCGAGCAUGAGCCCUUUUGCUUCACCUGUGUUGUUGGUUAAGAAGAAAGAUGGGACUUGGUGCUUUUGUGUUGAUUACCGCAAACUGAAUGCUAUUACCAUUAAGAGCAAGUUCCCUAUGCCCAUUGUGGAUGAGUUGUUGGAUAAACUUGCUGGUACACAAUAAUUUUUCUAAGUUGAACCUUAAGGCUGGAUCAUCAUAUCAGAAUGGUGGAAGUGGAUGAGCCUAAAAUUGCCUUUAAGACACAUCACGACCAGUUUCAGUUUCGUGUUAUGCCUUUUGGUCUUACUAAUGCUCCAUCAACUUUUCAGUGCUUAAUGAACUCAGUUUUUACCCCUUUCAUUAGGAAGUUUGUUCUUGUUUUCAUGGACGACAUCUUAGUCUAUAGCCCAGAUUUGUAGACUCAUUUAGCUCAUUUGCAGCAAGUCUUCUUGGUGCUGAGGCAACACAAAUUGUAUGCUAAACAAUCUAAAUGCUCCUUUGCUUGCUCUCAGCUGGAAUAUUUGGGCCAUAUCAUUUCUGUUAAAGGGGUGGGCACUGAUCUUGAGAAAACUGCAACAAUGGUGGCUUGGCCUGUUCCAACUUCUCUUAUUGCUUUGAGGGGUUUCUUGGACUGACUGGUUAUUAUAGGAAGUUUAUGAAGAAUUAUAGUAUUUUUGUUCGACCCUUGACAACCUUGUUGAAGAAAAAAGCUUUUGUUUGGACUGAUGCAGCACAGCUGGCUUUUGACCAACUGAAACAAGCUAUGACCACUACCCCUGUGUUGGCAUUACCAGAUUUUAGUCGUCCCUUUGUGCUUGAGACUGAUGCUUGCUUAUGGCAUUGGGGCUGUUUUGAGUCAGCAUGGUCAUCCUGUGGCUUAUUACAACAAGACUUUAGGCCCAACGAAUCAGAAACUCUCUAUUUAUGAAAAAUAAUUUUGGCCAUUAUGAUGGCUGUUGAUAAUUGGAGAUGUUAUUUGCAGCAUUGUCCAUUUACAAUUCGCCACGCUCACGCCGCCGCCGCCCUAACUUUCCCCACCACCAUGGCAGCCACCGCGCACGCCGACUCUCUCUCCUUCCUCCUCUCCCACCCCCACUCCACUUCCCCCUCCGCGCUGCCUGCCCCGCCGCACAUCGCAUUCGCUGCGCCACCGACAAUGCCGCCAUCAAGCACCGUCGCGCGGCCGAUGAGAACAUCUGCAAGGAGGCUACACGGCAUCGUGCCCUUCUCUGCAUGGUACGCGCCGUUCCCUCUAGCUCCCAAUGGCGACCCCAACAACCCCUAUGCCAUGCGCUGCUCUUCCGUCCCAUCGCUGACGUCUGGUGCGCAUCCACGAGGGACACCUCCGCCGCACUCUCGGCGUACUGAGUCGCCGCGGGAAUCCCGGUCAUUGUGUUUCUCCCUGCUGGCGGCGAGGCGGCGGCGGAGCUCGGCUGGGCUCGUUGGCUGCCUCUUCCCUCUCUAUCGCCACCGGCCCUAGAAUAACUGAAGAGAAGAGAAGAGAAGGGAAGAGAAGAGGAUAAGAAAGAGGAGAGAAGAAUUGACAAUAAAGAAAAUAUGAGGGUCCCACUUUUUUUUUUCACUUACAUGUGGGUGCCAUAAUUUUUUUAUUUUUUAUUUUGCUGACUAGGAUACUAUGUCAGCAAAACUAGAGAUUCAUAUUAGUGUAGGACUGAAAGUGCACGGUUUUAUAUAGUUUAGGGUGAAGAUUUUUGUAUUAGAGAUUAGGGAUGUUAUACAAACUCGACGUAAAUUUUGUGGGUCGGCUGGUGAAUUUAUUCUUUUUUCGUGAACGUGAUUAAAAGAAACAGCGGCACUGCAGCUUUAUCAUCUAGGCCCAUGAAGAUUUUGUCCCAUGUCCAAUUAUUCGUAAGCCCAUAAAACACCAUGAACCUUCUAGAAGUUGAAACUAUCUGUAAAAUCGAUUUCAGGGACCAAACUCUAGCUUCCUAUUGGGCCAGGUGGAUCUCUUUAAAUUUGGCAAUGCCCCCUCCAGGAAUCUGCCACGUGUCCAUUUAGAGGAAACAGCCUAGACGUUUCACCGUGAAAUGAAAAAAAGAACAGAAAGAAAAGGUGCAUUGGCGUGUACAGCCCAGUCACCCAUGCCUGCCCUGGGACCUGGUGAUCUGGCGCCGUUGCUACAACACAAGAAAUUGCCUUCUCAAGCUAAUGGGCACACAGAACCAAGCAUAAAUAGGAUAAACAAAAGUAAAGAAAUAACAAAGAGAAAAAUAUAAAUAAUUUUGCAAAAUUUAUCUGAAAAAAUAAAAUACAUUAUGGUUAAAACCGAAAAUUGAGUCAUAUUGAUAUCCUAUAUUUCUACAAAAUAAAUAAUAAAAAAACUAAAUAAUAGAAAUAUGGUGAAAGAUUGAAUGAAAAUUUGCAAUACUAAGAAAUAAUAUUCUUCGAAUGUGCAUUUUAUUAUGGAUACCGUAUGCACAAUUUUUUGGUUAAUAAAAUUGCCACAAUUUUGAGGAAACAUUAAGUUUUUUUCUAAUAGCAUCUCUAAUCAUUUGUCUAAUUAGUUGCAUACACUAAUUACAUGAUACUUUGGUUUUCCUCAUUUAUCUGGGACAAACAUUAAAUUAAAUUCCAUUCGUCUGGGACAAACACAAAAUUAAAUUCCAUUCUUUUGAAAGAUUUUUUUAAGGGUGUUAAACUAACUCGUGUAAACAUAUAUUACUUCAUCAGUUCCAACUUACUGGUCAUUCCCACAUUUCAAUUUUUAGAUCAUGAUCCCCUAUCUCCACCUUUCAUCAAUGCCACAUAUAUCCAGUAAUCAAAGUUAACAUAACUACUAUUAGAAUGUACUAAAUGAGCAUGAUAAGGUAAUUUGCCGCAUCCCCUCAUCUGACACGAAAUUUGGUAGAGUGAUAAAUAAUCUAAAAUAAGAGGUACGUAAAUUUUAUAUAUUCCAUAUGAGCUCUAAAUAAGAUUAUACAUAUAUCGGCGCGUCAAAUGCAGAUUUUCUAGUUUUUUACUACUAGAAGAAUAUCUGCGCGUUGCAACGGGUGAAAGUUAUAAGCUGUGGUUAGGAGCUUGAUCAUCUCAAAUUAGCAUGCGAGUUUUUUUAAAGAGAUUCAUUAUACGGCUUCUUCUGUAUUUCAAAAAAGAAUGAAUUUAAAAACCGACUCAAAUACAGACAUGUAUUUUCAAAAGCAAACGAAUUUAAAAACUGCGGAUGGCGUACCAAAGUACCAACGAAAACAUUUUUCAUACACAGAUGAUGUAGCAAAGUACCGACAAAAAUAUCUUUAAUUUUUAUAAUAUUAGAGAAGAGAUUUGAUAGGUUGGUCAAUCAAGUUGUAGUUACUUUGAAAUUUACUAAAAAUAUAAAUGAACCCACGAUUAGGACCUAGCCGUGAAGCAAAGCGGGGGACCGUUGGCACACCUUUCCGUCCUCCGCUUUCCAUCUCCACCUCCACCGCACUACCAGUACCACCACGUACGUCCACCACCACCUCCACCUCCGCCGUGCGGACGCCGCCGGCUUCCCAAUCCCAGCCGCGACGCGGAGGAGGACCAAAUUCCUCCCCCACCCCUCCGUCAAAUCUGCGCGCACCACCUCCGAGGUAAGCCUCUGCGCUCCCCUGCUCCGGCCUCGGGUUCUCCCUCCACAGCCAGCCGAGCGGGCAAGGCGCCGCCUUAGGCCGCUAUUAAUUUGUUACUGAUUCUUCGCUAAUCGCUACGAUGCCCUGCUUGCUUUCUCAUUUUGUGGUCUCGUGUGUCUAGACUCUAGAAUAGGUAGCGCGGCGUCAGCAGGUUUGGGGGUUCGGUUUGCGGCUGCGGAGUUUUCUGCCUUUCAGGCAAAGCCAUGGUUAUAACCAGGGUUCAAAUUUUCGGUUUGGCCGAUUCUAUCGGAGGUCACCGAAAUUUCCAAAAUUUUGAACAAAUGUUGGUUAAAUUUGAACAAAAUAUUACCAAAUUCAUAAAAAAUUUAGAAAUUUCGGUCAAAAUAUUUUCGUAUCGUAUCGGGAGGGUCCGAAUUGACCGAAAUUCCGGAAUUUUGAACCCUGGUUAUAACUGGGUGGGUUAAUCUUCAGGGAGGCUUGAUUUAGAAUUUCUUUAGUUUACAAAGAAUAAAGGCUUGUCAAAUGUUUUGUGUCAAAACUUAUAGUAACAAGUUUAGGACAUGAAACAUGGAGAGAGUUUGAUGAUUUCUAAAGAGCAAUGGUAAUUCGGUGGUUCUACACUAGUGUGGUGGAUGUGAUCCAAGCUGUCAAUAAUGAGGCCACACUUUGGUAGUUUGGUCUUUGGCGGGAGCUUUGAAACUCCAAAAGCUGUUGUCUAAGUAGUUCUUGCGUCCUAGAGAGGUCGGCUUGAGUUUCUUCAGUUUUUGAGUGGGUGUGUGUUGUGUUCUGUAAGACUUUCGGUGGGUGGGUGUCAGGGUUUGUUUAAAUCUUGCAUCCCUUGCAUUUCUUUCUCUCUCUUAAUGAAAUGAUAUGCAUAUCUCUUGCGUGUUCGAAAAAAAAAAAUCAGUGCUUCUACUUUCAUCACAUGAUGGUUUUGGACAUUUUGGCCUCUGAGAGACCCUGGCAUGGAUUGACUUGUUGGAACGAUUGCUACUGCUCAUUUCCUUGUCUUUUGCAGCAUAUAAACAUGAAUGCAAUAAUUUCUCUCCAAUUUUUCCAAAAUAGAAAUCUAGCUUCGGUUCAAGAUCAGCAAGAAGUCUGACAUAUAAAUGUAUGGAAAUGACAGCACCAGUAUCUGAUUAAAUUUUUGAGUAAAUAAUGAAGACUGCUGGUAAAAAUAUCGUAGUUGAAGUAAGAGAGAAGAGAGAAGAGAGAAAAAAAGUUUGGGUCUCUAGGGACCUGAUCAAUGAAUAUUAAAGUCCUGGGAUCCAUUAAAGUUUUGAGUAAAUAUUGAAAACAACUACUGAAAACUCGAUGUAAUAAUUAUUCUGUAUUUUUUUAACCAUGUAUGCAGAUUUGAGGACUGGAGAUCCAAGCAGUCUGUUAUGUCACUGCGGAGGCAUAAUGCUUUAAGUUCACUUAAGGAAAGAACUGCUGGAAUUUUUGCAUUCCUAGGAAACCUUGUGCAUUCUGAAACCUUAGAGAGAUCGGUGCUGCAUGAAAUGAAGUUGACAACUGGAACUCUUCAUCCUCAGGGACCAUUUCUGCAAAGCUGGAACAAGAUAUUUGUUUUGUCAUGUAUCUUUGCAGUUUCUGUGGAUCCAUUGUUCUUCUAUAUCCCGGUUAUCAAUGAAAACAAUACAUGCUGGUAUUUGGAUAAAAAGUUGGAAAUCACAGCAAGUGUCCUGCGCUUUUUCACAGAUAUCUUCUAUAUACUCCAUAUCAUAUUUCAGUUCAGGACAGGCUAUAUCGCGUCUUCUCCUACAACUUUUGAUCGGGGUGUCUUGGUUGAGGAUAGAUAUGCAAUAGCAAAGCGAUACUUGUCAACAUAUUUUCUGAUUGAUGUCUUUGCUGUUCUACCCCUCCCUCAGGUACUCGGCAUGGCAUGUACUUAGUUAAGCUUAGUAUGGAGCUAUUUUAUAGUAUAGUUCACAUGAUCCUUUAGAAUUAUGAUGGAGUGGAUGCACCUUUGAUAGUCUCUACAUGAUAAAAAUAAUAGAUAUUCACCUCUUUUAUGAUUUAUAAUGAUAUAAUGGAAUUCACAUGUUGGAAUUAUGGGUUGAUUAGUGAGGAUGCACUUUUGGUAGAUACCACAUUAUGAAAAUAAAAGAUUUUGGUUUUGGCCUGUUUCAAGAGUGACACUGAUACAUGCAAUCCAUAUGUUAGAAAAAUGGGGUCAUAUACAAAGAGCUUUGUCUGUUUCUUCUAUGAAUUUGCAGUCUUAAUAGUGCACUAAGUUAUGCGCCUUUGAUUUCUCAGUCAAGCUUGUAAGCAUGGUCAAUUUUGUUACCAGGUGGUUAUUUUGGUUGUGCUACCUAAUCUUCGAAGCUCAGAGGUUGCAAAAGCCAAAAAUAUCUUGAUGUUUAUAGUUCUAUGCCAAUAUGUGCCUCGACUGAUCAGAAUAAGACCACUGUAUCUCCAAAUCACAAGGUCUGCUGGGGUAAUUACAGAGACACCAUGGCCUGGUGCUGUUUUGAUCCUUUUAAUUUACUUGCUCGCCAGUCAUGUAAGUAUUCUAUUCAAUAACUCUGGAUAGUCAACAAUGCCAAAUAAAUUGUCCUUUGCCAGAGCAAUAUUUAACUGCAAUAGUGAAAAGCUGAAAACAUGAUCAAUUUCCUGUAAAGAUUAAAUGAAUUUAUUAUUGAUCAAAAUAAAUUCGGCUAACUUGGUUUGAGGUGUGGUAUGGGCGUAGUCUCAUCUUUUUCUUUUUUGGCCAAACCAGAGCCAUAAACACCUCGUCUUGUGGUUUUCAUCAGCAAAGUUGUCUAAAUUUGUAUACAGAAAGCAAUGGUGUAACCUUUAAAAGUUUUUUUUUUUUACUUAAAGUUACAGAAAUCUUAGAAGGAAAAUGAUUUUGUCCAACAUUUUCUCUGCGAAAGAAACAGAAUUUUAGUUUGUCCAAUCUGAAAUACACUCUAAUAGUAACAAUAUAAAUUAUUACUUUAUAUCAGCUAUCAUGUAACAAAUAUUUUCAAUGAAGUUUGAUGCUUAGUGCUUAGUAGUUCAUCCUUUUUCUUGUGGGUCAAUUCUCAAGAGAUAUUCUAUCACAUAUACACCAAUUUCAGUGUCAUCAAUGCAUAUUUGCAACAAUCUUGUCCACUUUUUCUAUGAUUAUAUAUUUCCAUGCUUUAUUGGCUCUAUCUGUUUCCUAAUGGGUGUCAUUUAUGAAGUCAUAACAGUCAAGAUUUACAAAAUAAAAGUCUUUAUAUUGGUAAGAAAAUAAUAUGUAUGGAUUUUGUUUUCUGUAAAAAAAAUGGCUAUAAUAUCCUUAUAGGUGACAACACUUUGGUCUCUCAAGUUUUGCUUGAGGCUCCUGUUGGGCUCUGAUGUAUCAUCCAGAUGUGUGUGUCCUCAAAUUUUCCUCAUUAAAAAUUAAAAUUGGAUCCACCGAGAGCAGCGCCUGUACAGGACUUGUCGGUGUUGACUCUUGACCUCUUGACUUGGCCAACUUGUUUGAUAUGCGUGUCCUUGUGGUGCUCCAACUGGUUUUAAGGAGUAAAGACAAUCUUGACCCAUAGUCGGAAAACUUUGAGGACUGGGUGGAUAAAUUGGAAUGUCACGGACAAUCACAACCAAGGAAUGGCCUAUGGAAACUUGACUUCAUACUACUAAAUUGGCAAAUAAUUAAAAUGUUAGUGGCCCCAGCAACCAUCUAGUUGACUUCAUUCAUAAGUGGGAUACUUUUGCAACUGCAGUGCCACUAAAUUGGAUAUAAUUAAAUAUUUCUGUGCACCUUAUAUAUUUAUGAAAAAUCUUUUAACUGCUGCAGGUCCUUGGAGCACUCUGGUACUUGCUUUCCAUUGAACGCAAAGAUGCCUGCUGGAGAGACGUGUGUCGUAAUAAUAGUACAGGCUGUAAUCAGGCAUACUUGUACUGUGGGGAUAAGGAAAACAUAUUCUUACAGACUGCUUGCCUUCCAAUCAACUCAAACAAUAUAGAUCCGAACUUUGGAAUUUAUGUGCCGGCUCUAAAUAAUGUCUCACAAUCAACUGAUUUUUUGGCAAAACUAUUCUAUUGUGUUUGUUGGGGUCUGCAAAAUCUUAGGUCCGUGCAAAACUGAAACAUUUAAAAUAUUUUCUGCUUGAGCUAAUAAACUUCUGUAUGCCACAUAUAUUUAUGUGUUGGUCUAUUUAAUGCAGCUCUCGGGGCCAAAACCUUAAGACAAGCACUUACGCAUGGGAGAAUCUGUUUGCACUUUUUGUCUCAAUAUCAGGCUUGGUUCUGUUUGCACUGCUAAUUGCUAAUGUGCAGGUAAACAUAUUUAGCAUCAUUGGCUAUGAAUUUUACAAGUCAUUUUCUUGAUUUACGUUAUUAUUCAAGCUUUUCAUAAUAGAACUUGCAUAGCAAAUCAGAAAUAUGCUAAAAUUUUAAGUGUGUUAUGAGUCUAAUGCCUACAUAAUCAAUUGAAGAGAACAUGAAUGCUAUCUACUGCUGCUAAAGAUAUAUCCUAGAAUAACAGAGAAUAUUUUUAUGAGUGAAUUAUGGAAAACUGAACUAUAGUUAAUCAAAUUAAUUAUGAGAAAAAUGAGUCCAACUUAUUUUAUCUCCUAGGGAUAUGAAACUAAAGAUAUGGAACCUUGUGCCAGAUUCAGUCCAAUACCAUUUUGAGAUACGACUAGCAUAAUCUUGGUAGGAAUAAGAUCAUCAAACCUUAUUUGCAACACUUGUCUUUGUACAAAAUGGUUCAGGUCUUCUACUACAAAGAAUGUUUAACAGGAUCCCUGACAUUGAUUGAAAUUAUGUGUUUUUGCUGAAUGAUGAUAAAUGCGUAAUUUUGGUAGCUAACUCAUGCUUCCAUUUUUUGUGAGUUUUACAGACCUAUUUGAAGUCAGCCCAUUUGAGAGAAGAAGAAAUGAGAGUGAAAAGCCGUGAUACAGAUCAAUGGAUGUCAUAUCGACUGCUUCCUGAGAAUCUCAAGGAACGAAUACGGCGUCAUGAAAAAUAUAGAUGGCACCAGACGAGCGGGGUUGACGAAGAACUCUUGCUUAUGAACCUCCCCAAGGAUCUUAGAAGGGCUAUAAAACGGCAUCUUUGCUUAUCACUUCUUAUGAGGGUAUGUUCUCACAUGCUUCUUUUGCAGAGUAACCUGCUGUACUAAUCUUAUUUUUGUGGCUUAUCCAAUUUCAGAAAAUAAGUUGGUUAAGUAAAUAAUUUGGCCAUUUUCACGUAGCUCAGCCAAACCCAGUUACAGUAGCGGACCCAAGAAAUACGAACUGAGAUUUGGCUGAGCACCACUUGUUUUCUAUUUAUUGUAGCAUAAUAUUUUCAGUCCGUGCAGCUCAUCAUGCUAUAUUGUUUAAAACCGGAAUUGCAUUUUCCUCACAAUUGUUGAUAACAUCAAAGUAUCCUGGUUGUUCAAGAAUGACAAAUACCAUGUUCCAAAAGGCACAUAAAUGAAAGCUAAAGGCUUCUUUUACCGCUUAUGUGUUGCAAGGUCUCAUUUUUUUUUCUCUCUGAGCCUAAGCCAAUUACCUCUUUUUUUAGAUAAUGGAAUAAAACAUCCCGGCGUUUGCUCAUCAGAGUUACAGCCAAUUAUUACAAAAGUAACACCCAAACACUGAGUGUAGAGUAACACUCAAACACUGAGUGUAGUUCAAAUGAAUAUGUACAAUAGAAGCACACAAUUCAUGCCAAUAUGCAAUAUUCUCACCAACUAAUGAUCUCCUAAAGGAAACAUUGAGUAUAAUAGAUCUCAUAACAUUAGCAAUAGUAGAACUUUUCCUUCGGACAAUAGAGUAUAAAGAUGGAUAUUUGUCUUUAAAAGCCAGGUUUCCUUGCCAUUUAUCUUCCCAGAACCUUAUUUGUUUUCCAUUAUUUACAAUCUAAGAACCCAUAUCUAAGAAGUUAUCUUUGACCUUCAUGAGACCUGACCAAAAAUGAGAAUCGUCCUGUUUCUUAUUAACUUGGCUUAUAGACUGAUUGUAGAGAUACUUUCUCUUCAAUAGAUUUUGCCAUACACCUUCCUCGUUAAUCAACUUAAGCAACCACUUACUCAAGAGACACUUGUUUUGUAUUUCCAAGUUAUGAACCCCUAAACCUUCCUGAUCCUUAGGUUGACAAAUGAUAUCCCAUCUAGUAAGUCUGUACUUUUUUUUAUGGUCAUCCCCUUGCCAAAAGAACCGUGAUCUAUAAUAAUCAAUUUUUUGAAGAACCCCUUUCGGUAUCUCAAAAAAAAAUAUCAUAAACAUAGUUAAACUUGAAAGUACAGAGUUAAUCAAAACCAGUCUACCCCCAACAGAUAAAUGUUUUCCUUUCCAACUACUAAGUUUUUUUUUCUCAAUUCUUUGCUCAAUCAUUUUCCAAUCUCUAUUAUUCAGUUUUCUAAAAUGCAUUGGUACACCAAGAUAUUUAACUGGGAGAGAGCCAAACUUACAACCAAAGAUGUUAGAAUACUCAUCAUAAUAUUCCUUUGCCUGACCAAAACAAAAUAAUUCACUCUUAUGAAAAUUUAUUUUUAAGCCAGACAACUUUUCAAACACAGAUAAAAUCAAUUUAAGAUUCUUCGCUUGUUGUAAGUCAUGUUCCAAAAAAAUGAUAGUAUCAUCUGCAUACUGUAAAAUAGAUAAACCAUCAUCCACUAGGUGAGGGACUACCCCAUUCAAUGAACCAACAUCUUUAGCCCUCUUAAUUAAUAAAGUAAGCAUAUAUGCUACUAUAUUAAAAAUAAUUGGAGAUAAAGGAUCUCCUUGCCUUAGACCUUUGUAAGUUUGAAAAUUAUUACCGGUCUAAUUAUUUACCCUAAUACCAACAUGUCCCCCUUGAAUAAAAGAAGAUAUCCACUCACACCAUUUAGGAGAGAAACCUUUCAUUCUGAGCGUCUAUUUUACAAAAGACCAUUUAACCUUGUCAUAGGCUUUUUCAAAAUCGAUCUUAAAAAUCACAACACUUUUAUUUUUGCGAUGUAAUUCGUGCAUAGUUUCAUGCAAAAUAACAACACCUUCCAUAAUAUUUCUCCCAGGUAUAAAAGCAGUUUGAGUAGGGAUAAUCACCUUUUGAGCAACACUCAUUAUUCUAUUCGUAGCAACUUUGGUAAAGAUCUUAAAACUAACAUUAAGUAAGCAGAUAGGCCUAUAUUGUUAAAUGGUGAGAAACCUUUCAUUCUGAGCGUCUAUUUUACAAAAGACCAUUUAACCUUGUCAUAGGCUUUUUCAAAAUCGAUCUUAAAAAUCACAACACUUUUAUUUUUGCGAUGUAAUUCGUGCAUAGUUUCAUGCAAAAUAACAACACCUUCCAUAAUAUUUCUCCCAGGUAUAAAAGCAGUUUGAGUAGGGAUAAUCACCUUUUGAGCAUCACUCAUUAUUCUAUUCGUAGCAACUUUGGUAAAGAUCUUAAACUAACAUUAAGUAAGCAGAUAGGCCUAUAUUGUUGAAUUUUCAUGGCCUCAGCACACUUAGGCAAAAGAAUAAUAUAGUACCAAAGUUAAGGGAGAAUAAAGGCAAAGUACCAUUAUGAAAAUCUCUGAAAAUAUCCAAUAUAUCAUCCUUAAUGACAUCCCAAAAGACCUGAUAAAACUCAGCAGAAAAUCCAUCAGGACCCGGAGCUUUAUUAUGUUCCAUUUGAAAAAUAGCCUCUUUAAUUUCCUUUCCAGUGAAUUCUUGUAUUAAAGCUUCAUUCUCCAAUUGAGAUACUUGUGGGAUGUCCACAAAAUUAUUUUCAUCAAACUAGAGAUCAGAAUCAUCAGGAGGACCAAAGAGGCCUUUAUAAUAAGUGGUAAUAUGCGAUUUUAGAUUUGCAUCACCAUUUAUCAAUUGAUCCCCAUCUUGAAGUUGAAAAAUUCUGGUUUUUCUAUGUUUGCCGUUAGCAACCAAAUGAAAAUACUUUGUAUUUGAAUCACCCUCUAAAAUAUCCUUAGUUUUAGCCCUUUGAUACCACUUAAUUUCUUCUUCUCUCAGAAGAGUAAGCCAAUUACCUCUAAAAUGGUGAAGUAGGUCUUCCAAUAGUCGUGUGCUUUAGGUGCACACCAGUAAUAUAGCUUGAAAUGUUCAGUGCAUGAAAUGUGUUUGAGGUACUUAUGUAGAAACUGGAAAAUUAAGUCAUGUAAAACCGUUGAUGUACUAGUAAUGGGUCAUCUUUUCACAUUUUAAGGUUCUGGGUUCAGACAUUAUGUUCAGAAAGCAUUACCAAACUGGGAAGCGGUGGGAAGGGUGAAAAGGACGACGGCCAUUGGGGUUUACAUGGUGAAUCGGAAAUCAGCUCCAUCAUCCAACUUCUGUAGUUUCUAUGCAUCUGAAAUGCUCUUCAUUUACGCUUAUAGGCAUCUUUUUUCACAGCAUUGGAUUUAGUAGCAGCAUAGCAAGUCACCAGUUUGGCUGUGGCUUUUGAAGGUCACGUGUUUAUUUCUUUUUUUUUUUGGAUGUAUAAAAUUUUGUUGGAGCUAUAACGGCAAAAUCUUACUGGAAUUAGUAAAUAACUCCUCUAACUAACUAGGAGUAAAUUAAACAGGACAACAAUGCCAAACGAAGCCAUAAUCUAGGGAGGUUCUUUGGGGACAUGUUCCAGGGAAACCUUGAAUCUGUUGCAGCAGUAACCGUUGUGUUAAUAUCUUAUUUGUGUGAAUGUAGAUCAUUUAUCUCCCUGCUAUGUAUUUUACAAUUCUGUUUUCUUUGCUUCAGGUUCCAAUGUUUGAAAACAUGGAUGAUCCGCUCUUGGAUGCCUUGUGCGACCACCUAAAGCCUGUUCUAUAUACAGAAGGCAGCUGCAUAAUUCGUGAAGAGGAUCCAGUAUAUGAAAUGCUCUUCAUCAUGAGAGGUAAUCUCAUGAGUAUGACAACUGAUGGUGGAAUAACCGGCUUCUUCAAAUCUGAUGUUUUGAAAGGUGGAGAUUUCUGUGGCGAAGAGCUCCUGACCUGGGCUCUUGACCCCACAUCAGUUUCCAGGCUCCCUAGCUCAACCAGGACAGUGGAGACAAUGUCCGAAGUCGAAGCUUUUGCCCUGACGGCUGAAGACUUGAAGUUUGUGGCCACCCAGUUCCGACGGCUCUACCGCAAACAGCUCCGGCACACGUUUAGGGCCCCUUUGAAUUGUAGUAGCGAAAUAGUGGAGGAACAGGAAAACACAUUAUUCUGACAGAAAUGUAAGUGUAAAACAGAUGAUUGCAAAACACAUGAAUAAUUGUUUGAUUGGGCCACAGAGAAAACAUAGGAAUCGGAUGACUUUUCCUGGACCUCUUGCUAAAUUUCCUUUAAAACCUAUAUGUAAUGAGCUAUUCCAUUGAAAUUGUAUAGGAUUUAGAAAAUUCCAAUCCUUUGAAUCAAAGGGCCAAAUAGGAAAAUUUUCUAUAGGAUUUCAAUCUUAUGAAAUCCCUUCAUAAAUCCUUUGAUUCAAAGGGGGCUUUUAAGGCUUAUUCAGUUUGGAGGAAUUUGAAUCCAUAGGAAUAGGAAAAGUGGAGGAAUAACAAUGUUAACAUACAUUAAUCCAUAGGAAUUUUUUCAAGAGGUUUGAGCGGAUGGAAAAAUUCAUGUUUCCUCUGUAUAAUUUGUAGGAGAGGAAAUUUUCCUUUGGUUUUCCUAUACUUCAAUCCUACAAACUGAAUGACACUCAUAGUAAUUAAUCAUUAGAAAUCGAAAUCCUCUGUUUUUCCUCCAAAACGGACGAGCCCUUAAGUUCUACUCGCAGCCUGUUUCAUACAAGCAGCCUGGCAUAGGUACUGCAGAAAGAAGAUCGAAGACUCUCUACGCGAGAAGGAGAAGAGGUUGCAGUUCGCAAUCGUUAAUGACGGUGCUACAACUCUCAGCUUCAGGGCAGCAAUAUAUGCUUCGCGUUUCACUGGCAACAUGAUGCGGAUCUUGAGGAGAAAUGCCACCCGCAAGGCCUGGCUGCAGGAAAGUGUGCCUGCAAGGUUGUUACAAAAACCAGCAGAACCCAACUUUGCUGCAGAAGAGCACUAGUUCUGUUUACCACGAAUGCGUAAGGAAAUUUUUGUGCAUGGCUUGUGCACUUUUUACUUGCUGAUAUUUUUGCUUUCGGUUGACACUGACCUACAAAUUGAGGAGAGGAAAAAAAUCGCAAUAGGUAUCUCUCUGUAACACUGUAUAUGUGUUGGUGUAUGAUAAUAGGUCCAAUAAUACUUUAGGGACAUCUGUAGUUAUAUUAGUAUUCUGUUAAACAUGUAGCAGUUCAGUACAAGAAUUAUUCUGAAUAUAUGGAAUAAUAAACAGAGUAGGCAUAUUUACUUAUAACAGGGUAUAUUUACUUAUAACUCAAGGGUCACCAUAUCAGGUAAUCUAGAAGAGCAUAAUAUCAGAAUCUGAACCUUAGUAGUUGAUCAGCAUAACAUUGCUAAGACCAAUACCAUAAAACACCAUUAUUUACCUGUGAUUUCUGUAAUCAGUAUACUUUGACAUCAAGAUCAAGAUUUAUAAUUUUUAGGACAUUAAAUCCCUUAAGUGAUACUGUCAUGAUGCAUCAUGUAUGAAUGAAAUCAUAUUAAUCCUCUGGAUUACUAUUCAGCAUGGCAACAUAAGGAUCUGAUCAUGUUAGUUUAUUAGUAUGUAGCAAAUUUCAAUAUCUCUGAUGGUCAUUGCAUAAGCAUAAUUAAGGAUUUAAUCAUGCUAGUGUGAUUUCUAUUUUAGUAAUGCAAUUCAUAGGUUUAUUCAUGUGAGCAUUCAUUCAUCAUGGGCAUACUGGCAUCAUCCAAUCUAGCAAAUCAAUUGAUCUAGAACCCUAGAACUAGUAAUUACAAUCCAUAGCAUAGAGUCAUUAAGUUGACCAUUAGGAUUAACCUAAUGGUACACCACAAUCAUAUAUCAGUAGCACAAAAGGGAAUAACAUCUUACCAAUAUAAAACACUAGAAAUCAGGAGAGGGGGGGGGGGGGGGGAGUACAGACCGGAGAGCACACUCAUGGAGAUAGGUCGGGGCCGCCGGAGUUGCGCGGUGCUUGGCACCGGCCAUCUCCACGGCAGCCAUGGCAAUUGGAGAGGCAGGGCAACGGGUAGGGUUAGAGUUGGGAUGAGAGAGAAAAAGAGGGAGGAUAAGGGGAAAAGAAGAAGGAAGGAAGGAGAGAGGAGGCGGCGGCGGCACCCCGCCGGGCAGCCAGGCAGAGGCGGCGGCGACGCCCCCUACAAUUGGGGCGCAGCGCCGCAGCCCUUGUGCGCCACAGCGCCAUGGAGAGAAGAGAGCGAGAAAGAGAAAGGGAAAAACGAGAUGAAGAGGAGAACGAGAAUAAGAGAGAAGAGGAGGAAGGUGGGCU